This 1302-nucleotide ribosomal RNA is filed under the name Forcipomyia makanensis. RNAcentral describes it as "Forcipomyia sp. m QL-2019 16S ribosomal RNA". The record is from RNAcentral. Lineage: Eukaryota; Metazoa; Arthropoda; Insecta; Diptera; Ceratopogonidae.
UUUUUAUUAGUUAUAAAAAAUAAUUUUUAUCAAUUAAGUUUAAGUAAAUUUUAUAGAAAAAAUAAUAUUUAUUAUAUAAAAUUAGUAUUGAAAAAGAAUUUUGAAAUAUAUUGAAAAUUUCUAAUUUAAUAAGAAUAUUUAAUUAAUAGUAUUUUGUGUUUCAAAGUAUUUUAAAUAUAAUUUUUAUAUAAAAAUUUUUCGAAUUAAAAUGAUUUAAAAAUUUAUAUAGAAUAAUGUGGAAUAAUUUUCUGGCAUAAAUUUUUUGAAAUAAAAAGUUAUACGUAUUUUAAGAUAUCUAAUUAUUUAAGAAAUAAUUUAAAAUUAGAUUAAUAUUUAAUUAAAUUGAUAAUUAUUAAUUAAUUUAUUUAUAUUAGUUAUUAUUCAUGGGGAUUAGCUUGUGCGUAAAGAAUUUAAAAAUUAUUUUAUAAUAAUAAUAAUAAUAAGCUUAAAAAUAGUUAUUUAUUAUAAAUAUGUUAUAAUUUAUUUAAUAUGUAAAAUUUAUUAUUUAUUAAAAAUUUUAAAAAAAAAUUUAUUAAAUAAAUUUAUUUAGUUAUAAAAUAUAGGUUAAAAUGAAAUAAUUAGUAAAUAUAAAUUAUGUAUAAAAUUAUUAAAUAUAAAAAUUUGAAUUAAGGAAUUCGGCAAUAAGUUUAUUCACUUGUUUAAUAAAAACAUGUCUUUAAGAAUUUAAUUUAAAGUCUAGCCUGCCCACUGAAAAUUAAAUGGCCGCGGUAUAUUGACCGUGCAAAGGUAGCAUAAUCAUUUGUCUCUUAAUUAGAGGCUUGUAUGAAUGGCUGAAUGAGAUAAAAUCUGUCUUAAUUUAAUUAUAAAUUGAAUUUUAAUUUUUAGUAAAAAUGCUAAAAUUUUUGUAAAAGACGAGAAGACCCUAUAAAUCUUUAUUUUUUAAUAAUUUAAGUGUUUGUAUUAAAUAUUUUAUUAUAUUAUAAAAAGAAUUGUAUUGGGGCGAUAAUUAAAUUUAAUAAACUUUUAUAUUUACUUAUUAUUAAUAAAUAUAUUAAUGAUCCAAUUUUAUUGAUUAAAAGUUUAAGUUACUUUAGGGAUAACAGCGUAAUAUUUUUGAAGAGUUCAUAUCAAUAAAAAUGAUUGCGACCUCGAUGUUGAAUUAAGAGUAAAUUUAGGUGUAGAAGUUUAAAUUUUAAGUCUGUUCGACUUUUAAAUUCUUACAUGAUUUGAGUUUAGACCGGCGUAAGCCAGGUUAGUUUCUAUCUUUAUUAAAUUAAAUCAUUUUAGUACGAAAGGACCAAAUGAAUUAAAUAAUAUUUUAUAAAGUGAAUAAUAUUAAAA